Molecule: ribosomal RNA, 127 nt
Filed under: uncultured bacterium
Lineage: Bacteria
Description: partial 16S ribosomal RNA
Rfam family: Bacterial small subunit ribosomal RNA
Source: RNAcentral
CCGGUGGUAUGGGAUGGGCCCGCGUCUGAUUAGGCAGUUGGCGGGGUAAGAGCCCACCAAACCGACGAUCAGUAGCCGACCUGAGAGGGCGACCGGCCACAUUGGGACUGAGCCAGGGUCAAACUCU